This 73-nucleotide transfer RNA is filed under the name Marmota monax (woodchuck). RNAcentral's name for it is "tRNA.Ala". The record is from RNAcentral. Lineage: Eukaryota; Metazoa; Chordata; Mammalia; Rodentia; Sciuridae.
GUGGGACUGUAGCUCAGUGGAAGAGCGCCUGCCUCGCACGUGUGAGGCACUGGGUUCUAUCCUCAGCACCACA